This 66-nucleotide transfer RNA is filed under the name Elaptus simulator. RNAcentral describes it as "tRNA-Tyr". Lineage: Eukaryota; Metazoa; Arthropoda; Insecta; Coleoptera; Cerambycidae. The record is from RNAcentral.
GGUGAAGUGGCUGAGUUUAGGCAAUAAAUUGUAAAUUUAUUUACGAAAUGUGAUUUCCUUUACCAA